This 435-nucleotide ribosomal RNA is filed under the name Triticum aestivum (bread wheat). RNAcentral describes it as "partial small subunit ribosomal RNA". Lineage: Eukaryota; Viridiplantae; Streptophyta; Magnoliopsida; Poales; Poaceae. The record is from RNAcentral.
AUGGGCGUCGCCAAGGCAAUGGCGCCUGUGGCGCUCGGCCUCCUAGUUGCGGUGGUCCUCGUCGGGACGGCGGGCACGAGCCUUCUCGCCGGCUGCGCAGGACCAGAGAGGAUGGAUCUCCAGGAGCACGAGGUCUGGGUGCGCUACCUCCUCGUCCGCAUCGCCCCCGUGGCCGCCGGGAUAUUCUUCUGGGCCGGCAUGGCGGACGACGACCUGAGAGCCACCGCGUGGGAGCUGCGCGUGCUGUUCGUCGUCGGCCUCAACCUCUCCUUCGCCUCGUCGCUCCUCGCCCUCGCCGCCCUGACCACGGAGUUCUCCUGCGACUGCGUCGUCCACUGGAUAGCGAUGAUCGUGGCGCUCGCCGCCGCGCAUCUCGUCGCCGUUUGGGCAGCCCGGGGUCGUCUCCGUGCACUGAAGCUCCGUCGAGCGUUCUAG